Molecule: ribosomal RNA, 692 nt
Filed under: uncultured archaeon
Lineage: Archaea
Description: bacterial SSU rRNA
Rfam family: Archaeal small subunit ribosomal RNA
Source: RNAcentral
GGUGGGGUAAUGGCCCACCAAGCCGAAGAUCGGUACGGGCUGUGAGAGCAGGAGCCCGGAGAUGGACACUGAGACACGGGUCCAGGCCCUACGGGGCGCAGCAGGCGCGAAACCUUCACAAUGCUCGAAAGAGUGAUGAGGGUACUCCGAGUGUCUAUGCAUUGCAUAGUCUUUUCUUUAGCGUAAACAGUUAGGGGAAUAAGGGCUGGGCAAGACCGGUGCCAGCCGCCGCGGUAACACCGGCAGCCCUAGUGGUGACCGUUUUUAUUGGGCCUAAAGCGUUCGUAGCCGGAUAGGCAAGUCUUUGGGUAAAUCCUACGUCUUAAGCGUGGGACUUCUAAAGAUACUACCUGUCUUGAGGCCGGGAGAGGCUAGAGGUACUCCUGGGGUAGGGGUAAAAUCCUAUAAUCCUAGGGGGACCACCGAUGGCGAAGGCAUCUAGCUGGAACGGGCCUGACGGUGAGGAACGAAACCCAGGGGAGCGAGCCGGAUUAGAUACCCGGGUAGUCCUGGGCGUAAAUGAUGUGGGCUUGGUGUGAGGAUAUCGACGAGGUAUUCUUGUGCCGUAGGGAAGCCGUUAAGCCCACCGCCUGGGGAGUACGGUCGCAAGGCUGAAACUUAAAGGAAUUGGCGGGGGAGCACUACAAGGGGUGGAGGCUGCGGUUUAAUUGGAUUCAACGCCGGAAACCUUA